CAGGCUUACACAUGCAGUCGAACGAUGAUUAUCUAGCUUGCUAGAUAUGAUUAGUGGCGGACGGGUGAGUAACAUUUAGGAAUCUGCCUAGUAGUGGGGGAUAGCUCGGGGAAACUCGAAUUAAUACCGCAUACGACCUACGGGUGAAAGGGGGCGCAAGCUCUUGCUAUUAGAUGAGCCUAAAUCAGAUUAGCUAGUUGGUGGGGUAAAGGCCCACCAAGGCGACGAUCUGUAACUGGUCUGAGAGGAUGAUCAGUCACACCGGAACUGAGACACGGUCCGGACUCCUACGGGAGGCAGCAGUGGGGAAUAUUGGACAAUGGGGGCAACCCUGAUCCAGCCAUGCCGCGUGUGUGAAGAAGGCCUUUUGGUUGUAAAGCACUUUAAGCAGGGAGGAGAGGCUAAUGGUUAAUACCCAUUAGAUUAGACGUUACCUGCAGAAUAAGCACCGGCUAACUCUGUGCCAGCAGCCGCGGUAAUACAGAGGGUGCGAGCGUUAAUCGGAAUUACUGGGCGUAAAGCGAGUGUAGGUGGCUCAUUAAGUCACAUGUGAAAUCCCCGGGCUUAACCUGGGAACUGCAUGUGAUACUGGUGGUGCUAGAAUAUGUGAGAGGGAAGUAGAAUUCCAGGUGUAGCGGUGAAAUGCGUAGAGAGAAUACCGAUGGCGAAGGCAGCUUCCUGGCAUAAUAUUGACACUGAGAUUCGAAAGGUGGGUACAGGAUUAGAUACCCUGGUAGUCCACGCCGUAAACGAUGUCUACUAGCCGUUGGGGUCCUUGAGACUUUAGUGGCGCAGUUAACGCGAUAAGUAGACCGCCUGGGGAGUACGGCCGCAAGGUUAAAACUCAAAUGAAUUGACGGGGGCCCGCACAAGCGGUGGAGCAUGUGGUUUAAUUCGAUGCAACGCGAAGAACCUUACCUGGUCUUGACAUAGUGAGAAUCCUGCAGAGAUGCGGGAGUGCCUUCGGGAAUUCACAUACAGGUGCUGCAUGGCUGUCGUCAGCUCGUGUCGUGAGAUGUUGGGUUAAGUCCCGCAACGAGCGCAACCCUUUUCCUUAUUUGCCAGCGGGUUAAGCCGGGAACUUUAAGGAUACUGCCAGUGACAAACUGGAGGAAGGCGGGGACGACGUCAAGUCAUCAUGGCCCUUACGACCAGGGCUACACACGUGCUACAAUGGUAGGUACAGAGGGUUGCUACACAGCGAUGUGAUGCUAAUCUCAAAAAGCCUAUCGUAGUCCGGAUUGGAGUCUGCAACUCGACUCCAUGAAGUCGGAAUCGCUAGUAAUCGCAGAUCAGAAUGCUGCGGUGAAUACGUUCCCGGGCCUUGUACACACCGCCCGUCACACCAUGGGAGUCUAUUGCACCAGAAGUAGGUAGCCUAACGCAAGAGGGCGCUACCACGGGUCG
Molecule: ribosomal RNA, 1407 nt
Filed under: Faucicola osloensis
Lineage: Bacteria; Pseudomonadati; Pseudomonadota; Gammaproteobacteria; Moraxellales; Moraxellaceae
Description: bacterial SSU rRNA
Rfam family: Bacterial small subunit ribosomal RNA
Source: RNAcentral